RNAcentral lists this long non-coding RNA (694 nucleotides) under Rattus norvegicus (Norway rat). Its description in RNAcentral is "long non-coding RNA NONRATT020127". Lineage: Eukaryota; Metazoa; Chordata; Mammalia; Rodentia; Muridae. The record is from RNAcentral.
GAGGCCCCGGGGGGAGCCCGGCUCCCGGGCCCCGAGACCUGCUGAGAGAGUGACCUACGCGGGGUCCGGGGAGUCAUGUAGGGUGGCGCCUGCGGGGCGGACCUCGGUUGGGCGGCGGGAGCUCGUGUUAGUGGUGGAGGCCACGGACUGCUAGCCUCUUGGGGCCGGGACAGGGUGUGGGGGCCCCUCCCGCGGACAGCAUCAGCUCCGCGCCUUGGCAGACGGCUCACUCGGGCUCGGCGCGCGCCCUGCGAGGUUGCGCUGUGUUCUCAUUUCACUAGUUUGGAGGCUUAGGCAGAGAGGCGAAGACAUUAGUCCAAGGUCACGCAGCUGGUAAGUGGGAGCGCCCAGCAUGGGACCCAGCACCGGCCCGCUGCAGAGCCUGCGUUCCACCCACCCCGCCGCCGCCUCCUGCGGGAGGGGGAGGUGGUCGGCAGGGCUCGUCGCCGGGACCACCGGGGCUCCAGGCUGGGUGCGACCACUAGCCCUUUGAAUGACCUCGGGCUUAACCUCUCCGCCGCUCUGGGCCUUGUUUCUCCACCUGUGAAAUGAGGGUCUCCACCACCCAGCUCCAUGCUUCGAAUCCUGCUCUCUGCCCAGACUUCCCCUGCUCGGCUGUCUGGUUUGCUGCUCAUCCCGCCAGUACAGCCCUGUUGUUUGGGACCCAGCAAGUCCGGGGACCGGCCUUUUGGAG